CGAGUACGACCCGUUACGACGGGGAAGUGUCUGAUGUCAGGCUUCCAAGAAAAGCCCGAACCACGUUAAUUCAAAUUGGCCCGUACCCUAAACCGACACAGGUGGGAAGGUAGAGUAUACCCAGGGGCGCGAGAUAACUCUCUCUAAGGAACUCGGCAAAAUGGCCCCGUAACUUCGGGAGAAGGGGUGCCACCGAGAGGUGGUCGCAGUGAAGAGUCCCAGGCGACUGUUUACCAAAAACACAGGUCUCCGCUAAGUCGCAAGACGAUGUAUGGGGGCUGACGCCUGCCCAGUGCCGGAAGGUUAAGGAAGUUGGUCAGGGAGCAAUCCUGAAGCUAGCGACUGAAGCCCCGGUGAACGGCGGCCGUAACUAUAACGGUCCUAAGGUAGCGAAAUUCCUUGUCGGGUAAGUUCCGACCCGCACGAAAGGCGUAACGAUCUGGGAGCUGUCUCGGAGAGAGGCUCGGCGAAAUAGGAAUGUCUGUGAAGAUACGGACUACCUGCACCCGGACAGAAAGACCCUAUGAAGCUUUACUGUAGCUUGGUAUUGGGUUCGGGCUUUGAUUGCGCAGGAUAGGUGGGAGACUAUGAGAUAGCUCUUGUGGGAGUUAUGGAGUCACUGGUGAGAUACCACUCUAUCAAGGCUAGAAUUCUAACUUUGACCCGUUAUCCGGGCAGAGAACAGUAUCAGGUGGGCAGUUUGACUGGGGCGGUCGCCUCCUAAAUGGUAACGGAGGCGCGCAAAGGUUCCCUCAGGCUGGUUGGAAAUCAGCCAUUGAGUGUAAAGGCAUAAGGGAGCUUGACUGCGAGACUGACAAGUCGAGCAGGUACGAAAGUAGGCCUUAGUGAUCCGACGGUUCCGCGUGGAAGGGCCGUCGCUCAACGGAUAAAAGUUACUCUAAGGAUAACAGGCUGAUCUCCCCCAAGAGUUCACAUCGACGGGGAGGUUUGGCACCCCGAUGUCGGCUCAUCGCAACCUGGGGCUGUAGUCGGUCCCAAGGGUUGGGCUGUUCGCCCAUUAAAGCGGUACGUGAGCUGGGUUCAGAACGUCGUGAGACAGUUCGGUCCAUAUCCGGUGCAGGCGUAGGAACAUUGAGAGGAGUCUUCCUUAGUACGAGAGGACCGGGAAGAACGCACCGCUGGUGUACCUGUUAUCGUGCCAACGGUAAACGCAGGGUAGCCAAGUGCGGAGAGGAUAACCGCUGAAAGCAUCUAAGUGGGAAGCCCACCUCAAGAUGAGUGUUCCCAUGGCAAAAGCCAGUAAGGUCACGGGUAGACCACCCGUUAAUAGGCGCUAGAUGGAAGUCCAGCAAUGGAUGUAGUCGAGGCGUACUAACAGACCGAGGGCUUGAC
RNAcentral lists this ribosomal RNA (1353 nucleotides) under metagenome. Its description in RNAcentral is "bacterial LSU rRNA". It matches the Rfam family "Bacterial large subunit ribosomal RNA", at positions 1564 to 2925 of the family's 2925-position model. The record is from RNAcentral.